RNAcentral lists this unclassified non-coding RNA (369 nucleotides) under Agaricales sp. Its description in RNAcentral is "partial contains 5.8S ribosomal RNA, internal transcribed spacer 2, and large subunit ribosomal RNA". Lineage: Eukaryota; Fungi; Basidiomycota; Agaricomycetes; Agaricales. The record is from RNAcentral.
CGCACCUUGCGCCCUUUGGUAUUCCGAAGGGCAUGCCUGUUUGAGUGUCAUUAAAUUCUCAACUUCAAAGGCUUUGUCUUUUGAAGCUUGGAUGUGAAGGCUGCUGGCGUUUUAAAUGUUCAGCUCCUUUGAAAUGCAUUAGUGGACCCAUUUGUGUUCAGCCUUAGUGUGAUAAUUAUCUACGCUAUGGUUUUUGAAUACUGGCUCAUUGGAUCUUCGAGGUGUUUUAUACAUUCUCGGUGUGGGGAGUUGCAUGAACUUGCUCUCUCUGUCUAUUGAGUUUGGCUUGUCUGCUUUCUAACUGUCUACUGUGUGGACAAUUUUGAACCAUUUGACCUCAAAUCAGGUAGGACUACCCGCUGAACUUAA